CCUACGGGAGGCAGCAGUAGGGAAUAUUGCUCAAUGGGGGAAACCCUGAAGCAGCAACGCCGCGUGGAGGAUGAAGGUUUUCGGAUUGUAAACUCCUUUUGUUAGAGAAGAUAAUGACGGUAUCUAACGAAUAAGCACCGGCUAACACCGUGCCAGCAGCCGCGGUAAUACGGAGGGUGCAAGCGUUACUCGGAAUCACUGGGCGUAAAGGGCGCGUAGGCGGGAUAGCAAGUCAGAUGUGAAAUCCUAUGGCUUAACCAUAGAACUGCAUUUGAAACUGUUAUUCUAGAGUAUGGGAGAGGUAGGUGGAAUGCUUGGUGUAGGGGUAAAAUCCGUAGAGAUCAAGAGGAAUACUCAUUGCGAAGGCGACCUGCUAGAACAUAACUGACGCUGAUGCGCGAAAGCGUGGGGAGCAAACAGGAUUAGAUACCCGGGUAGUC
RNAcentral lists this ribosomal RNA (440 nucleotides) under uncultured bacterium. RNAcentral's name for it is "partial 16S ribosomal RNA". It matches the Rfam family "Bacterial small subunit ribosomal RNA", at positions 338 to 795 of the family's 1533-position model. The record is from RNAcentral.